Molecule: transfer RNA, 66 nt
Filed under: Hydrophilidae sp. BMNH 1274343
Lineage: Eukaryota; Metazoa; Arthropoda; Insecta; Coleoptera; Hydrophilidae
Description: tRNA-Gly
Source: RNAcentral
ACUUAUAUAAUAUAAUCAUUAUAUUUGAUUUCCAAUCAAAAAAUCUAAUUAAAUUUAGUAUAAGUA